Molecule: transfer RNA, 73 nt
Filed under: Dipodomys ordii (Ord's kangaroo rat)
Lineage: Eukaryota; Metazoa; Chordata; Mammalia; Rodentia; Heteromyidae
Rfam family: tRNA
About the family: Transfer RNA (tRNA) molecules are approximately 80 nucleotides in length. Their secondary structure includes four short double-helical elements and three loops (D, anti-codon, and T loops).
Source: Rfam by way of RNAcentral
GGAUGCAUGGCUUAGGUGGUAGAGCACUUGCCUAGCAAGCAUGAGACCCUGAGUUUAAACUCCAAUGUUACCA